CUUACACCUGCACAUGUUGUACUAAUGUGUCCACUAUACACUGAAGGCUAGGAGAUCAUCACUUACUUUUAGCCCGUUUUUAAUGUUUGGCUUCCAGAUUUGAACAAAGAACAAAUUGGUAGUUUGUGUGUCAACAUAGACUAUACAUACUUUGUCUUCAGGAAAUGACACGUGUUGUGAAUUGUCUCUUGCUUGUGGUUGUACUGACAGGUCUCUUGCAGGUCUCAUCUGCUAAUAAAAAAGGUAAGUGCAUAUACAACUUGUUUAAAGCAUAAUCAUUGACCUUAAUUGUGGUUUAUCUCUUUCUAAGAAACGAAGAUAAGAAAACGUGGUGUUUCAAAGAAGGUUUAAACAUUGAGUACACAGUAAUAUUAAAUAUUUAAUUUGAAUUGAAAAGAAAACAAGAAAAUGCGUCACAAUUUUACUUUAAGUGGGUCAUUGUAGAAGCAUGUCUUAGUUCACCUGAGCAAGAAGAGCAUUCUUCUAUUAAUUACAAGUAUGAAAACCACGUUGGAGUAUUAAAAGGAACAUAAUAAGAUUCAGAAAAUAUAAAGUAAUCAGCAGCGCACAAAAAAAACAUAUGUAUAUCACUAUCAUACCUGGGUCUGUUGGGUAUAUCAAUAGUGGACAUCAAGAAUUCCUCCAGCAACCAGUAAAACUGUAACACCCCUAUAGUCUGGCCGAUCACGAUGGCCCAUGUAGUUUUUUAAAAAGGUGGAAGGCUAUGUUAUCUAACCUUUUCUAUGUGCUAUUCUCUAAAUAGUGAUUCAGUCAUUUUAAAAUAAAUGUUCAGUUAGGUCAGAUACUCUUCAUUUCACUAAGAUGUUUUAUGGUUAGCUAUAAUCUUUAAUUCCAUAAUGUGUUGUGGCUUUCUAUGUUUGGCUCCGUUUUUGUCUCUUUAUAAAUAAAUAAGGGAUUUUUCGUGUAUAUUCAUCUUAUGCAUUUCUUUGAUUCAAACAUUUAUGGAACGAUUAAGCAUACAGCUGUAGUACUGGGCAACGUCUAUUUAAUUGAUGUGCAGUAUAGCUAAAAAACAUUUUAGGGACACAAUCCCUUUCUCAAUUUAUAAUUUACUUAAUGAUAACAUAUACUUACUGUGAAAAAAGUUUAAUUUACCUUUUCCGCUCAUCCUAAUGCUGCUUACAGUCCAUCGAUUUGGGCUUUAUUGAAUCCAGCCUGAUGCUUAUAUACUUUGUGGAGUUUUAUCCAUUGUAACUGUUACCAGGUACACCAGCAAACUGGCACAAUAGAAAGUAAUGAAUAAUGGAACCCUCCACGAAAAGUUGUAUGUUGGUGAAUAGGGCAUGUUACAUACAACAAUUCUCUUACAACGCUUUUUCAUGAAUUAUGAAUUGUACAGUCCUCUUAUUGUUCAUUUUUAUUUAGCAAAAUAUCAGAGAUUUAGGGUAAACCACAUAAAUAAACAUGUCAUAAUACAGGACUUUAAGUAUAUCAUGUUUAAAGAGAGCAUUAAAGGAUUAUGUCUCAGACAGCGAGCGCGGUUCUAUAUGGCCCUGCUUUGCAGGAUUUUCCUGAUGGAAGUGUAGGUGAUGCAACCAAUGCUCCCUCUAAUCUUUCAUUUUUGUGCGAAUAAUUAGAUUUUUUCCCGAUCCAAAGGUUUGUGCGCACUUUAUGUGCAAAUGUAAACCUGAAAUUGAUUCUUGAUAAUAUUGUUUCAGAGCAGCCUCGUUCUCAUUGUUUAGUUUUACUGUUUGAUAAUGUAGUAUAAGUAGUUACACAACAGUUUUACUGUAUUGUCAGCCAUUCAAACAGACAAGCCUUUCUGCUAAUACCUCUUUUGUUCAUUCAGUCAAACCAUAAAAAGCAAUAGGGGGAAACUGCACAUACCAGGGUACACACAAUUAAAAAGCAUUUACAGGAUAAUUUCCAGUUUGUUGCUUACUUCACCACACAGCUUCAGCCUCACCUUCACCACAGUAAAUAGCAAUUUAAUCCAGAAAAAAACUGGCCAAAAAUAUAAUAUUGGUAGCUUGUUGACUGUGUUUGGGCAAACAUGUUAAUUCCCUAACCUGGGCAAAAACAGUGAAUGAAGUCCAAUGAAUGGUGAUAUUUACAUAAUAAAUGCUUCUUACCCAUAAAUCAAAUUUAGCUGUCAGCUGGCACAAUUAUAGCAAACAUUAUAUGGAAAAGAGCUCUUUGCUAAAAAAAAUAAUUGUGAGAUAUACAUUGAUGCUUCUUAAAACAAAUAAAAAAUAAUCUUGAUAUGAUGGGAUAUGUCAGAGGCAUAUAGGAGAAACAAACAACCCAAUCCAACAGACACAAAUAGCAAACAUUAUCUGGAGAAAUUCCAACCACAAAUUUUUCAAAAGGAAGUUUUUGCCCAAUGAAUAGUGACAUAUACAUUAAUGCUUCUUAAAAACACUGUCACACACACUGACAGACACACUCACUGACAGACACACACUUAUAUAUUCUUGCACACACAGACACAAAUUAAUUUUAUUUUUUGUUUUAUUUUAUUUUGUUAUGCCCAUCCAGCCUCCCUACCUUUAGGAGAGCUGAUGUGGGCCUCACCCUGUAGUCCAGUUAAGAACUUCUCCCUGAAGUCCAGAGGGGAUUUUCUCCCUAGGGUCAGUGAGGAUCUUCUCCCUGGGGUCCGGUAAGAAUCUUCUCCAUGGAGUCGAAUGGGGAUUGUCUCCUUGUGGUCCAAUGGGGAUUGUCUCCCUGGGGUCCAGUGGGGAUCAUCCCCCUGGGAUUCAGUGGGGAUCGUCUCCUUUUUUUUUUUUUAGGAGUUAAUUUUUUUGUGAUUUUUUUUUUUGUGAAACCCAAAAGCUCUUUUCAGAGCUAUUAGCCCCUAUCCUGCCAGUGAUACCCAAUGUAAAGCGCUGCAGAAUUUGAUAGCUCUAUAUAAAUAUCAUAAUAAUAAAAUAAUAAUCGUCUCCCUGUGGUCCAGUGGAAAUUGUCUCCCCGGGGUCCAGUGGGGAUCGUCUCCUUGGGGUCCAGUGGGGAUCAUCUCCCUGGGGUCCAGUGGGGAUCUUCCCCCAGGGGUCCAGUCGGGAUUGUCUCCCUGGGGUCCAGUGGGGAUCAUCUCCCUGGGGCCAUUAGGGAUCGUCUCCCUGUUGUCCAGUGGGGAUCGUCUCCCUGGGAUCCAGUGAAGAAUGGAUCUUCCAUUUCCUCUAUGCUCCUUUGGGUGCCCUUUGUAGUUAUGCCUGGGCCAGACUUACAUCAUAUUCCGGCACCCGGCAUUACUACAGGGGGCGUGCAAGGGAGCAGAGAUAAACUGGAAACAUGCCAUCAAAUCUCCCUCAUCGCACCUGCCAGAAGCCUCCUCUCUGCCUCCCUCUUUGUGAAUGCCCUAAUGUCAACAGGCCACCUCCUGAGCUCCCUGGAGCAGUCAUUGAUUUGCUUCUUGCAAAGCUCCUCAUCAUCUGGCAGGUGCCACAGGGAGCCGUGCGCAGCGUCUGACUCUCUGUGCGUUCCCUCGAAAAAAGGUUGUGUGGGUGCAUACGCACACGCAUUAGAGGGAACAGUGGAUGCAGCCACGAGUACCCAACAAACCGUUUAAUAUCUUACUGUGUAAAAGCACCAGGACACUUCUAGCACCACAGUUACUACUAGGGAUCGACCGAUAUUGAUUUUUUAGAGCCGAUACCGAUACCGAUAUUCUGUGAACUUUCAGGCCGAUAGCCGAUAUAAUUUGCCGAUAUUCUGUACAUUUACCAUUUUGGAAAAUAAAAACUAUUUCUAAAGGUAAAUGCACAAAAUAUACAUGCAACGUGCAGUGGAUGCAGUGUGACAGGGGAGCUGUGUGUGUGUGUUUGUGUAGUGGAUGCAGUGUGUGUUUGUGUAGUGUGUGUGUUGUGGAUGCAGUGUGUGGAGGAUGCAAUGUGUGUUUGUGUAGGGGAUGCAGUGUGUAUUUGUCUAGUGUGUGUAGUGGAUGCAGUGUGUAUUAGUGUAGUGUGUAUAUAAUGAAAGCAGAGUGUGUGGGUAGUGUGCGUAAAGUGAAUGCUGUAUAUACUAAAUUCAAAGUGUGUGUGUAUAUAAUGAAUGCAGAGUGUGUGUGUAUUUGUGUAGUGUGUGUAUAGUGAAUGUAGUGUGUUUAUAUAAUGCAGAGUGUGUGUAUAUAAUGCAGUGUGUUUGUGAAGUGUGCAUUAUAUAAACACACUACACAAACACUGCAUUAUAUAAACACUACACAAACACACACACUGCAUUAUAUACACACUACACAAACACACACUGCACAAACACACUACACAAACACACUGCAUUAUAUACAAAACACACUACUACACAAACACACACUGCAUUAUAUAAACACACUACACAAACACACACUGCAUUAUAUAAACACACUACACAAACACACACUGCAUUAUACACACACUAUAAAAACACACACACUGCAUUAGAUACACACACACUGAAUUAUAUACACACACUACACAAACACACACUGCAUUAUAUAAACACACUACACAAACACACACUGCAUUAUACACACACUAUAAAAACACACACACUGCAUUAGAUACACACACACUGAAUUAUAUACACACACUACACAAACACACACUGCAUUAUAUAAACACACUACACAAACACACACUGCAUUAUACACACACACUAUACAAACACACACUCUGCAUUAUAUACACACACACUAUACAAACACACUGAAUUAUAUACACACACUAUACAAACACACACUGCAUUAUAUAAACACACUACACAAACACACACUGCAUUAUACACACACACUAUACAAACACACACACUGCAUUAUAUACACACACACACUAUACAAACACACUGAAUUAUAUACACACACACACUAUACAAACACACUGAAUUAUAUACACACACUACACAAACACACACUGCAUUAUAUAAACACACUACACAAACACACACUGCAUUAUAUAAACACACUACACAAACACACACUGCAUUAUACACACACACUAUACAAACACACACACUGCAUUAUAUACACAGUGUGUUUGUAUAGUGUGUGUAUAUAAUGCAGUGUAUUUGUGUGCAUUGUAUACAAACACACACACACACUAUACAAACACACACUGUAUUAUAUACACAGUGUGUUUGUGUAGUGUAUGUGUAUAUAAUGCAGUGUGUGAGGGGGCAUUUUUUAUUAAAUUAUUUUAAAAAAAAAGUAUAAUUAAUUCUUAUUUAUUUUUGUUGUCCCCCCUCCCUGCUUGUUACCUGGCCAGGGAGGGGGGAUAUGACAGUCCCUGGUGGUAUUGGCUGAGCUGGGGGGGCGGGCAGCAAGCGCUUACUCACCUCCCAGCAGCUCCUCCAGCUCCCCAAUGCAACUCUCGCGGCCAGCGUGUCGCGCGGAGCGUUGCCAUGGUGAUCCAUGGCAACGCUCGGACGGCCGCGGGUCUCGCGAGAGUUGCAUUGGGGAGCUGGAGGAGCUGCUGGGAGGUGAGUAGGCGCUUGCUGCCCGUCCCCCCAGGACCGCCGGGUUUGUAAUGAGCCCGGCGGUCCUAGGAGGUAUUAUCGGCAAUAUCGGUAUCUGAAUUGGCCGAUACCGAUAUUGCCGAGAAUAACGAAUAUCGGCGAUUAUAUCGGUAAAACCGAUAAUCGGUCGAUCCCUAGUUACUACAGCCCUCUGUAGUGGUUAUGGUGCUUGAAGUGUUCCCUUAAAACAAAAGUUCUUACUUAAUGUACUCAAUAUUUUGACAAACAUGUUUUACACCAUAUCUGGCACUUGGCAACCAAUCUGAUAGGAAAUAAAAACAGAAGCACAAAUAGAUAACAACACGGGCAUAGUAGAAAUUUACCUGUUUGCUGAUGAGAAUUUCAGUUUCAUCCUGUGUUGUAUUCCUGUGUUGUAUACAAUUUUCAGUGUAUUUUCAAUAUUACCUCCACAAAAUCCUGUCAUAUUUUCUUUAUAAUUUGCUCCAUCAAAAUGUAAAGUUUGAUUUUAUAACAAGACACGGAGGCUCAUAUUGCAUAUCCCUUUCUUUACUGUCCACCAAUAGCAGCAAAGAAUACAAACAGAAUGAAAAAAUAAUGAACAUACAGUAACAUAAGCCCCUCCCCGCUCAGGUCCCAGUAUAAUAGGCAGCACUUCCCUUCCAUUUCCCUCUUUCUUUGCUGCUCCGAUACAAAGAUAAGUACAUGUCACAUCUUCUCUCUGAUUUACUUGUUUAUUACCUGCUAUUGAUAAUAUUAUUGAUAUCCUUGUAUUACACUGUAUAGGUUUUAUCUGUUAUUGAUUCUUUUAUUGUCUUCUAUUUAUUUUAUUAGAGAUUUUUUCUUAUUUGUUUUCUCUGCUUGUUUGAUGCUGUUUUUCUGUGAACCCAGGGUCCAGACCUCCCCUGUUAUUUUUUGUUUAUUACCCCCCUUUUCACUUGACCCUGUUCUUGUGUUUUUCCUUGUUAUUUUCCUUAUCUACCUUAUUUCCAUCUUGCUGUUACCUCUCCCAGUCCCUUUGGCGCCCUUUUGAGCCCAUUCUCUGCUUUGUUCGGCUGUUUUUCGUGCACGAAUUAAGCCCAUUCGGUUGAUUCAUCACGAACAUAUGCUGUUCGCUUUUCCCCCAGCAGAUAGCACCAUUCGCCUGUUUGCCGCGUUCGCCUAAUUUUUGCACGAACUGCUCGUUCAUCUGUUUUUUUCUCCUCUUCAUAUAUAUUAGUUUAUCUAUCUCCACGAAUUUGUUUCUUUUCUGCCAAACGUUCGGUUCUUCAACUUAGCGAAUUUCACAGUAUUUUGCCGGGAAUCUCGCGAGAUUGCCAGCAUCCAUUUUCUGACUUCCUGUCUAACUCCCUACUUUGUGUGUGCAUGUGCCACUGGUCUGGGCCCUGGUGAGAUCUCUCUUAUACCUGUUGCUUUCAGGUUUGGGUGACUAACCCAUACUAUUCUGAUAAUCUAAUUAGGGAUUAGGUCUGGUUUUAUUCUCCAUUAUGCCUAAACCCAGACUACCUUCUGGAUACCCAACCUCUGGGGAGACUGAUGCUCCAUUUAAUUUGGGUGAGAACCCUGUCACCUCUGGCACUCCACCCACCCUGGAAGACAGAACUAUCCACCCUGAAGGGGCACAAUUCUUAGCGUUACAGCGCUCAGUGACAGAUGCCAUUAUGGCAGCCAUGGAGUCCAUGUCAUCUACCCUCUCACAUACUAUUUCCCAAGCCCUAUUGCCACGUCGUUCAUACGAGCAUUUCUCUGGCUCCACAACACCACUAUCGCGUCCUGCUGUGGACCCGCCGGGAGAGGCACCCAGAAAGGCUACCCAUAAGUCCAAACAUCCCUCUGCCUCCAGAAAUUCUAUGAUUGGCAUACCUAUGGUUGCCCCAGAAAGCGUGUCCCAUCCACGCAAAAGAGCCUUUCCACGCCAGGCAGAACGGGCGCGGCUAUGGAAAUGUGUCAGAGCACAGUUAGAGAGCGGCUCCGACUCAGAUAUCGGGUCAGGUGAGGAGGCUAAGAUUGAGUCGGACAGUGACUCUGAUAUGGAUGCUGCAGAUGUGGGCUUUGACAUCCUUCCCUCUGCUCAGGCAGAGACGUCUGGAGGUGAUACAGGGACUAGGCACCCCGUGGCUGCGGGGUCCGCCCUUGUGGACCCAUUGGGUGUCCCACUCUUCAACCCGGAUGACCUACACUAUCCGAGGUCGGCAGAGUGGCUCCCGGCCGACCACGUUGCCACGUACCUUGAGAAUUGGGUACGGCCCCCUCUUAGCAAAUUGGCACGUAACAAAUUGAGGGCAGAGUGUCCCAGGCCUGUGGUGCCCAAUAAAGUAUGUGACACUCCUGAGGUGUCCCUGGACAGUGAAACGAAGGACGAAUUACGAUGGUGGAUCCUCAAUCUGUCCGCGUGGAACGGCAAAGCGAUCUUCGGCUCGCUGCCAGAAUUCACCAUCGACUGAGAUGCGAGCCUCCAUGGCUGGGGGGCCCAUUGCGAGGGAGUUUCGACAGGAGGCUACUGGUCGGAAUUCGAAUCCCGGCUACACAUCAACGCACUGGAGCUCCUGGCAGGCUCCUUUGCCAUCCGCAGUUUUGUGAGGGACUGUGCCCUGGCAUGCAUCUGCCUCCACAUGACCACCUGGCCUGCACAACGUUCAAGCGUACUGGUGGUCACGAUAUCUUUCGGACACCAGCGACUGGAGAUUGGACACGGACGUGUUCUCCAGUAUAUCAUCUUUUUAGGGUCCCUUUGCCAUCGACCUCUUUGCAUCCCAGCUCAAAACCCAACUGUCACGUUUCUUCAGCUGGAGGCUAGAUCCGAUAGUGGAGGCAGUAGACGCCUUUCUGCAAGACUGGAGCGGAGGCCUCCUGUACGCUUUCCCUCCAUUCUCCAUGAUUCCGAGCUCGCUCCUGCAAACCCACAGACACUGGGCCGAGUUGGUCAUGGUGACCCCCUUCUGGGAGAUGCAGUCAUGGUUCCCUCAAAUGCUCGAGAUAUACAAUGGACUAUCCCCAACUACUGCCUGAGUUUCACGAACUGCUGCUGGACCCGAUGGGUCGAUGUCACCCCCUCCUGUUGGAAGGCUCCCUUCCACUCCUGGCGUGGCGGAUCUCCGGGGACCCUGGGAGAUCCAGAGAGUUUCGGAAACAACAAGACUACUGUUGGCAGAUGCGUGGGCUCCCGGCACUAGACGGGCAUAUGGGUCAGCUUGGCGAGCUUGGGCUGGCUGGUGCCUGGCUAGGAACGUGGAUCCCGUUUCAGCUCCUGUAACCAUUGUCCUGCAAUUUCUGACUUCCCUUUUUAAAGCAGGGAAAGUUUACUGGACUACCAAUCUCUAGCGGUCUGCCAUCUCUUCGACUCAUCAAGGCUUUGACGGAUGUCCCGCGGGGCAACACCCCUUAGUGUGCCGACUCCUCAAGGGCUCUCGAUUCUCCCGACCACCCAGGCCUCGCUAUUCCAUGACCUGGGAUGUCUCCGUUGUUUUGUCUUUUCUCUCAUCCUGGCCCGCUAACUCCGCACUCUCCCUAAAACAAUUAUCAGCCAAGUUAGUUUGCCUGCUCUGCCUUGUCUCCUGCAAGAGGAGCUGGUUUUAUCCUUUCGUCCUCCUUCCCACCCGGUUUCUAGCACCACAUUGUCAUGCUGGGUGAAGUGGUUAUUGUCUCAGACAGGCAUUAAUACCGCGGUCUUUAGCGCCAAUUAGGUCAGGGGGGCCUCGGCCUCUUCGAUGCUGACUGCAGGUGCGUGUCUUGAGGAUCUCAUGAGGAUGGCCGACUGGUCAAAGGAAUCUACUUUCCGGGAAUUUUACUUUCGACCGACCCCGCAUACGUUUGCUGCAGUAGUGGACCAGCUUUAAACUUGCAAUAUGAGCUUGUUAUAAAAUUGCAUGAUUUUGCUAUUACAUGACGAAAACUCAUGAUUUUAUUAAAGACACGGAGGCGAGUAUUGUCCCACCCAAUAUUGUAUUUCUCACAUUAUGUUAUUAUUUCCUACCCAGUUUUUUGUAUGUUUAGACAAGAUACAUCAAAUGGUUUGGUAUGGUAAGUGGGGCCUGUGUCAUAACGGGGUUUUGAUUAUGUACCUUGACUUGUUUUAAUCACUAUGAAUUGUGGGACUGCAGAUUUAUGUGGGGCUCCUGUUCCUUUAUGUUUUAACAGCCUGAUCCGACCCUGUGGAAUGCCAUGCUUCAGCUUGUGAGGACUCCCCCCGCUGAUAGAGUUUGGUUCUACAUUCAUCCGGUUGUGCUUCCCUGUUGUUGAAGUGUUAUCCUCUUCUCAGCGAAAAGUUCUGCGUUGUCUCCUCAUUGGACAUUAUCGCUGUUCUUGGUUAUUGACGUUGUUUUUUAGUGUCGCAUCUUCAGAAAGAGGAAAAUGGAAAUGGAAGGGAAGUGCUGUCUAUUAUACUGGGACCUGAGUGGGGAGGGGGCCUAUGUUACUGUAUGUUCAUUAUUUUUUCAUUCUGUUUGUAUUCUUUGCUGCUAUUGGUGUACAGUAAAGAAAGGGAUAUGCAAUACUCGCUUCCGUGUCUUUAAUAAAAUCAUGACUUUUCGUCAUGUAAUAGUAAAAUCAUGCAAUUUUGGUUAUACUGUUGCAAAAAUAUGCUACUCAAAAUGGUUAAUAUAUCACAAGUUUAAUCAAAUUAAUUGCAAAUUGAGUGUAUCAUUUUUUUGCUUACUUGUUUUGUUUUUGUAAAUCCUACAAAGGUUUCACAGUUGUAUAUCUGUGAUUAAUAUACUAGUUCACUAACAAUGAUAUAUCCCUCUAUUAGAUAUUAGUAUUUGAAAAACAUUCAUCAAAUUAACUUUUUUUCCCCCUUUGCUUCACCCUGCACUUCAGCCAAAAUUAAAAUGAACAAAUAUAUAUUGCUAUAUAUUUCAAAAAGCAACAAAAACAUUUACAUUUCAUUACGAUGACACUUAACUACUUAGACAUAUUUAAAUAUUUAUAUCCAAAAAAGCAAUGCUGCAUUCUUAUGAGAACUCAUUUGUCUAAUUCAAGGAACAUUCCAAGAUUGUUGUAGUGGUUAUGGUGCCAGGAGUGCCCUGGCACCAUAUACAUUUUGUGCAUAUUUUUGUUUACAUUCACAUUUGAUCUAUCAUUCUGUGUAAGGUCCACUGAGAUUCCAACAAUGUUGCAUUUUAUCGGAAUAAAUUGGUACUUUGAAGGAUGCACAGCACCAAAGCUGUCUGUUUAAUAAAAAGUGUAGGCAAUUUCAUUUCUGGCAAUUCGCGAUUAUGGAACUCAAGGACCAGCACCGGGAGUAUUAAAGAAAGUCCAUUUUUAAAAUUUAUCUAACAUUGCCCAAAUUUUGGAGUUGCGGCAUAGUGGUAGAACUUUUUAUCACUUGAGAAAGCCUAUGGGUGAAAGGCGUUGUGAUUAUAUAGAAGGACUUUUUAAAUCUGUUUUUAUUUUAUGUGAUAUAUUACAGUAAACAUUGUUUUUACCAUCAACAUUUUAUGAGCAUUUUUAAUGUAUUUUUUUCCUACAUUUUAUUUUUUAAUCUAAAAGAACCUCCACAACUACCUACAUAAUAUCCUUGGUGGGGAUCAUACCACCCAAGCUCAUAUCAUUGAGCAAAAGGUGCUCUUGAAAUUGUGAGUAGAUGUUAUAUAUAUAUUUUUUUUUUUUAAAGUACAGUGAGCACUAUAUCUUGUUUUAUUCCUAUCAUAUGCCGUUUACAUUGUGAAAAUCAAAAGAGGACAGCUCCAGAUUUAUCCUUAAGCGGGUAUUGUAAUGCUCAGAGCCUUAUCUAAGAGCUGAAUAGAAGCACUCUCCUUUUAUUUUAUUUUAAUUUUACCUAAAACAUUGUACAUACUGGAUUACACUAUUGGUGGUUUCUUUUGUGUUUUAUUUCAUAUGAGACACCAACAACAGAAUUCCUCAUCUGCACCACAGUUUUGUCUAGUUGAACACAAAGGAGGAUAACAGACUGACCUCCAAAUAAGCACUAUCUUCAAAAGGUUCAUGUCUCCAAAAAAUAAAAUCCUUUUCUGCUGGGACUCUUUAUUAUUGGUAUAUCUCAAUAUUUUUAUAUAUAUAUAUAUAUAUAUAUAUAUAUAUAUAUAUAUAUAUAUAUAUAUAUAUAUAUAUAUAUAUAUAUAUAUAUAUAUAUAUACACACUGCUCAAAAAAAAUAAAGGGAACACAAAAAUAACACAUCCUAAAUCUGAAUGAAUUAAACAUUCUUCUGAAAUAUUUUGUUCUUUACAUAGUUGAAUGUGCUGACAACAAAUCACACAAAAAUAAAAAAAUGGAAAUCAAAUUUUUCAACCCAUGGAGGUCUGGAUUUGGAGUCACACUCAAAAUUAAAGUGGAAAAACACAAUACAGGCUGAUCCAACUUUGAUGUAAUGUCCUUAAAACAAGUCAAAAUGAGGCUCACUAGUGUGUGUGGGCUCCACGUGCCUGUAUGACCUCCCUACAACGCCUGUGCAUGCUCCUGAUGAGGUGGCAGAUGGUUUCCUGAAGGGAUCUCCUCCCAGACCUGGACUAAAGCAUCUGCCAACUCCUGGACAGUCUGUGGUGCAAUGUGACGUUGGUGGAUGGAGCGAGACAUGAUGUCCCAGAUGUGCUCAAUUGGAUUCAGGUCUGGCGUACGGGCGGGCCAGUCCAUAGCAUCAAUGCCUUCGUCUUGCAGGAACUGCUGACACACUCCAGUCACAUGAGGUCUAGCAUUGUCUUGCAUUAGGAGGAACCCAGGGCCAACUGCACCAGCAUAUGGUCUCACAAGGGGUCUGAGGAUCUCAUCUCGGUACCUAAUGGCAGUCAGGCAACCUCUGGCGAGCACAUGGAGGGCUGUGCGGCCCCCCAAAGAAAUGCCACCCCACUCCAUUACUGACUCAAUGCCAAACCGGUCAUGCUGGAGGAUGUUGCAGGCAGCAGAAUGUUCUCCAUGGCGUCUCCAGACUCUGUCACGUCUGUCACAUGUGCUCAGAGUGAACCUGCUUUCAUCUGUGACGAGCACAGGGCACCAGUGGCGAAUUUGCCAAUCUUGGUGUUCUCUGGCAAAUGCCAAAUGUCCUGCACGGUGUUGGGCUGUAAGCAAAACCCCCACCUGUGAACGUCAGGCUCUCAUACCACCCUCGUGGAGUUUGUUUCUGACCGUUUGAGCAGACACAUGCACAUUUGUGGCCUGCUGGAGGUCAUUUUGCAGGGCUCUGGCAGUGCUUCUCCUGCACAAAGGUGGAGGUAGCGGUCCUGCUGCUGGGUUGUUGCCCUCCUACGUCAUCCUCCACGUCUCCUGAUGUACUGGCCUGUCUCCUGGUAGCGCCUCCAUGCUCUGGACACUACGCUGACAGACACAGCAAACCUUCUUGCCACAGCUCGCAUUGAUGUGCCAUCCUGGAUGAGCUGCAUUACCUGAGCCACUUGUGUGGGUUGUAGACUCUGUCUCAUGCUACCACUAGAGUGAAAGCACUGCCAGCAUUCAAAAGUGACCAAAACAUCAGCCAGGAAGCAUAGGAACUGAGAAGUGGUCAGUGAUUGACUUGGAGUUACAUUGUGUUGUUUAAGUGUUCCCUUUAUUUUUUGAGCAGUGUAUAUAUCUCUGUAUAAGAUUAUCUAGUAUUUCUAUAUUUGGUGCAGUCUGAUUUUUUCAUAUUGUGCCUGUGGCACCCACCAGACUCACCUUCAUGCCAGGACUCUGAUAUUAACAUACUCAAGCAGGAGGAGGGAAUGGGCUGAGCCCAGAGAAUCCAGCAGACUUACCUGCACGCCAUCACCACCAGUCUCCUGGAGCUGAGCCGAAGCUGAGCCCGGCCCCCAUGCAGGAAUCCAGUGGCUCCUACUCGGUUUUUACCUGCUUUUACCUCGAUUUAUGAAUUUAAUGCGUUCUCCAGGAUGUUUCUUAUUGUGAAAAAUUUGUAAACCGAAACACGGUUUCCCAUAGGAAUGCACUGAAAACCAAUUAAUCCAUUCUGGAGGUCAGAAAAAAGUCAAAAUGAGCUGGCAUGGGAACCAACCCACAAUGCAGAACACACAAUAAAAGGCUUGCAAACGACGAAGCUCAGCUCCCUACCUAACCACAGCUUGAGAAAUGUACCAAAAAGUCCCAAAACCACUGCAAACAAUUUCCAGAAUGGCUCCAAAACUCGAUGCAAAAGCCGCUCCAACACCUCCACACUCGACACCACGUGCUACCCACAGUCUCCAGCAUGCAGGGGGCGGUGCUAUAAACCUCCCAGGUGUAAUGCAUCCUGGGGAAACUUGCUUUGUAUUGCAAAAAAAAAUUGUAAACCGAGGCAUUAUUUUCAAUCGAUUUUCAUUUGUAAACCGAAAAUUAUGUUAACCGAGGCGUUUGUAAACCGAGGUCCCACUGUAUUUUAUUUUUUGUACAUCUCUUGUUACUCUACUCUCUUCUCUUCAGUCUUUAAGACUCCCUCUCAGUGCGAAUGCCUAUACAAGCCAAUAGUAUUGUAUUGUCAAGCCUAGCACUGUGGUGAUUUGUUUCUUAUUAUACUACUCUCCAGCUACCUGUCAUUUUGAUCUUUAGCAUGUACUUCGUUUUGAAUAGAAAGGAGUAUCUAGCAUGUUUCCUACAUAACUUAAAAAUGAGGCAGACAUAUUAUGGAGUUUACACUCUUGUCUAUAUACAUUUAUAUACAUGUUGAUGCACUUCUUGCUUAUGCGAGAGUGCUACUGUAAAAAAGAGAUUGACAAAAAAAAAAGAGACACCUGAUUGUCCUGAUACAGAAGAAUGGAUACAGCAGAUGUAGGGCUGGUGCCCGGCAGAACCCAGAUAAGUUGUUAAACUGUGCUAAAACAGUUAUACAUCUUACCCUGAGACAGCACACCAGGGCACUCCUGGCACCAUAACCACUAAGGCUUCCUACUGGAGCUGCUAAUUCUCUUGAAUUAAGCUAUAAUUAACUCUACCUCUUCUAUCUUAGUCACCCAAGCACAUUACACAUAACACACAUUAUCAGCCAGAGCAUUACUCACAUCAGCAAGGGACAGGAACCACAUAAGUCCCUUUUUGAGUAUUCUUUUUCCAUUUACAAAGUCUCCUUACAGACAUGUUCUUAGAACUGGUUAUUUAUGUGAAGAUUAACAUGUUUUGACCUUUUACUUUAUGAUCAGAUUGCUUUAGAAUCCCACACUGCACAGACAGUGACAUCAUCCAUGCAAAAAUUCUCCAUGCAGUCUGGGGGCCAUAAUCUCUGCCAGAUUGUGACAUAUAUGCCCCAGUCUGUCCCAAAUUAGUGAAAGUUAAACUCCUGAGCAUUACCUGCCAGCGUUAUAAUGAAUGUUAAAAUACCUCCUGUCUAGAUCUGUAACUUUCACUAAUCUUUGGCAGGAAUGGGAUUUGUAUGUCCUAUUUCUGAAAUUACAGUGUUUUUCCAAUUGACCUCUACAAAUGCCCUAUAUACACAUUAGCCUCUACAUUAAACUAAUACACACCCCUAAACAUCAGUCCCUAUAUUUAUUUAUCAAAUAUUUUACCAGGAUGGAUACAUUGAGAUUUCUCUCAUUUACCAUAACUCACUACACUCACACUAAGCACCAUGUAUUUACAGUGUACUGAAAAUGUACAAAAGGCUAAAAAUUUUAACAGGUAGACAGAUUGAGUCAGGUUGUGACAAUCUGACAUAAAAUGUGAGCAUAUACUUUUUAUGUCAUUUUAUGUUCUUUGUUGAAAAUGAGCUUUCCCAGAUGACUAUUACAAUACAAACCAGGCGAUGUUAUGUAGUCUAGAAGUUGAAAGUCCUUAUAGUUUGAUUCCACAUGAAGUGAUACACACACCUGGCACUAUUUAGAAUAUAGUGGUACACAAUUCACAGCCCAUAGUUAUUGGUAUUUGUAAAUAAGCUCUUGUGGUUUAUUUUGACCCACAAUUUCUUCAUUUUCAAUAACUAAUUCUACCACCUGCUGAGGUCAACUGUGAAGCGGACAACUUGUGUAUGUAAAUAUUCACCUGGGCUGGUGGAAGGACAAUUAGUAUUUCUUAGGUAUAUGUGUACAUCACACAAUACAUACACGUUUUGAAGUGAUAUAAAGACAAUGUCUUUAUAGUCUGGAAUGGGACAGAGGAGAUAUUUAAACAUCUUACCAAUGUGAAUGAUCUUAACUUGAGAUUCCCUGUUGAAAUUUGCAAAGUGUCAUUGAAUUUCUUGGGUGUUACCCUCACAUUGUUUUCUGAGUGGAAUAUUUCAACAAGAUUGUUCAGGAAGCCCACAGCUACGACAGUUAACGUCCGAAGGGUAUCCUAACUGGACAGUAUCUGAGACUGAAACGCAACUCUCUUGGCUUGACCUCCAUAGAUAAGCAGUUGUGCUUCUCAGAUACUGUGCUACUGGGACAAAGUUUCAAAGACAAUGGUUAUUCUACCCGCUAUCUGAAUCAAGCAAGAGACCAUCCACAAUUGACAUACUAACCUUUAACAGGAUUCCUCUGAAUUAACAUCUAAGAGCAAUUCUCUGGUUAGAUAUAUUGGAAAAUGUGAUGCGGGCUGGGAGUUGAUGAAAGCCACUAUAGAUAGAUAUUGAACUUUACUUUCCCAAGGACAAACAUCUUAAAGAGGUAAUCACUCCCUCAUAUUUCCAUCACAGUUCGAAGAGGAAGAAAUGUACAGGGCAUAUUAGUCCCUAAUCAUUUUCUCAGUUCUCCCACUCCAUAAUCUAAUUGUUGGAACAUUUCAGGGAGGAAGAUAGGUUAUAGAUACUUGUAGAUUUAUCCAAUGUGGUACUAAAACAAUGACUACUACUGAUAACAAGGACACAUUUACAGAAAAAUGUGUUAUAUAUCUUCCGACUUGUAGCAGUGGUAUAAAAUAUGUAGGGAAACAUUUUGCCCACUCCAGGGCCAGACUGGGAACAAAAUUUGGCCCAGGCUCGGCUUGUGAGGUCCCUGUGUGGAUAUGAAUGCUCCCCUUGGACAGCGUUCGUCUAUACGAAAUGACGGCCACCCAGGGGAGCACUCAUUAAUUACUUCCCUUGCGGUUUCACACUUGUGUUGCGAGUGCGAACAUUCUAAAUAAUUGGUGUGACCGUUCCUCUGGAGCGCUGGGGAGGUCCUCGUUCGGGAGACGAACGAGUUGGGAAACAAUCCAAGGAAGCACUUUGCGGUAUGUAGCGAGGUGUGAACAUACUAACCUAACAUUCUAAAAGGGGUAUCGGGGUGGUUCCCGUUCGGGAGGUAAAUGGAUUCCCUUCAUGGAAGACCUCCUGAACUGGGAGAGGGCACAAUAAACAAAACAAUGCAGAAAACACCCAUAAUAUAAAGAAAGGCAAUUCACGGACAGGCAAUGGUUCCGCCACAACAGUGUGUGUGUAGGUGAUCUAGUGUGUAAAUGACCCAGCGUGUGUAUAGGAGAUUGUGUGUGUGUGUGUAGAGGAUUCAGAAGGUAUAUAGGGAUCUAGUGUGUGUAUGUGUGUGUGUAGAUUAGAUGAUCCAGAGUUGGGUAAGGGAUCUAGUGUGUAUCUGGCGUGUAAUGUGUGUAGUGGUGCAGUGUGAGGGGUACUGUAGUAUAUAUAUAUAUGUAUAAAAAAAAACAAAAAAAACAAGAGGGCUGCACUCACCUGAACAGGCAUACAUUAUAGGGUACUGCUGGGGCCAAAAUAUACAAAAUAUAGACUCCAGCGCACUCGCUUACUCACUAAACAAUGAUUUCAAAUCUUAGAGAUUGUAAUGGUUUUAUUUAAAAACACCUCACCUAGGCAAAAAAAUAAUGGGGGUUUAGUUACAUUAUAUGAUCAUACAUUGCAUAAGCCUGCCAUAACGUCAAUGUACCCCAUUCUUGGCAGGUCCUACUCUAGCAGCCUAAUGCUUGCUCUUAUGAGAUUAAUCCACUUACUUGGGAAAUACUUCCUUACUGGGACUCUCUGCAAGUCAAGGCUAAAUAGGGUCCUGGAAUGAGGCACCUGUGACAGGGAGGGGUGCAAAACCAAGGAGCUGGCCUGGACUCCCAAAUAUAUAAAAAAACCAAGAUGGCUGCACUCACCUGAACAUGCCACCUAUAUGCCGAUGGCACCUAGAUAUAUCUCUCCUCCCCUGGUCUCUCCACCGCUGUCCUAGAGCGCAUCACCCAUUGACUUUCUUCCAUCUCUGAUUGAAUGUCCUCUGGUUUAGAGAGACUGAGUGUCAGAAAACGUAUCUUCUGAUUUUUCCUCCUCAUAAUAAUAAUCCUCCGCUUUUGCUCUCACUGCAAGUCGAUGGUACCCGCAUCAACCCGUCCUUGCAAGCUCAUUGUCUUGGUGUUAUCUUUGAUUCGGGCCUUACCUUUAUGCCUUGAAAAUACAUCCUGCAAGUGUCACAGAACCACUUCAACCAAGACAAUCAACGGGUAAGGCUGUUAUUGUGCUUUCUAUUAGAAACAUUCUGUAAUUGGGCCUGUUCAUUCUGUACAGUGCCACACUCACUGACUGUGAGCAUCAGCUGAGCUCUUUUCAGACCUGUUUCUGCUCAAUAAAUCAUCUAGCUCCUCCUGCAGGAGAAGCCGCAUGCAGCAAGGUCAACCAGUGGACCCACGUAAAUUGUCAAGAAAUUCUAGGACAAUUUGGCAUUACCACUAGUGCUGAUUGGUUGAUUAAGAUGCUUGGAGUGUUCCUUUUGAAGAAAACCAUACAUUUUGUGAAACAUGAAAGUGCAGGACUGGAUAUUAUGCUUGAAGUGUCUUUUCAAGAUGUGAUGCUGAAUCAUUUAGAAAAUAGAAAAUGAAUAAAACAGACAAUACUUUUUUGAUGUCUUAAAAAUAUUAUCAUCCAUCUCAUAAAAACAAAAAGGUAGAAACCAAUUUGUUCCCUUUAUGAGUGUUCUAUUUCCAUUUAAAUGAUGUAUUCAUAAAAAUGCUUCAACAGAGAAAACAUAUUUUUUUGUGGAAAUUUCAAGUUGGCGUCUCAUCUUACACAUCCGCCUUAGAGAUGUUCAAUAAAAAUAAGAAAACAACAUAUUUAUAAAAAUAUAAUAUAAUAUUAUGGCAGGGCCCUCUUCUCUUCCAUACAGUAAGCAAGUUUGAAUUGCAAACUUUAUGCAUGUAUUAUAACAAUCACAAAGAAAUAGGUGAGCUAAUUGCUAACAUGGAUUAUUGGUAAUACACCAUAGUUUAGUUUACCAUAGUUUAGUACUACUGUGAAUGGGCAUUAUGCUAACAGAUACUUACCAACAAUCUGGACUGGGUAAUCAGAAAGGGGUUGACAUGGCUGCCCAGAAAAGGUGUAAAGGUGAGGCAAGAAUUAAAGCUAACACAAAGACAGUGUCAGGGUGGCGGUCGGACGACCGGGACCCAGUAUACCUGAUGAAGAAAGUAAGAGUCACAGUGUGGAAGUGGAUAAGCAGGGUCUGGUACAGGGUAACCGCACGUCACCUGGUAUUGAGCACCAGCGUUUGUGUGGCCACAUACGAGGACCCUGAUGCAGCUUCGGCGGAUCCCAGAAACGAGGAGCUUGGAAAUAAACAGACCUCCCAGGAGCUGAAUAGGGAGGCUCUGCAGCAGGAAUGUAUCCAGUACAGAAACAAAGUAAGGCUAGGAUAGGCACCAAACAUGAAAACAAGACAGAACUAAUAGAACCCAGAACCAGAGAAGGAUAGGAAGCUAAACCCAGAACAUGUACACAAUACAGAAGGGAAACAUUAGCAGGACAGUACAGCACUGUACAUAGACUGGGAAUACAAAAUAAAAAAAAGAUGAUAUAUAAGGCAAAACAAGAGGAGACAAAACUAAGUACUAUAUAUGUCAAACAUUGGAGAUUUAGACAUACAUAAAUGGCCAAGAUGUAUGCAGCCCACCAACUGCGGCAAAGUACUCCAAUAAAGGUGGGAAACUAACUGCCUAAAUUUGCAUGACUAAAAAAACAAUAAUUAAACACACACAGCACUUACCUGCAAGAAAAGGCAGAGGACUUGUAGCAACUGCCUGCAGGAACCAACUGAAACAAAAGGAACGGGUGUGGCAACAUAAAACAAACAUUUAAAGGAAUCCAAGAGACUGGGAAUUCCAGGAACGGAAUACAGGAAUUAACCCAGAAAACCCAGCAUAAAGAAAACCAGACAUGGAAUAGAAAACCAGAAAAACCAAGAUAAACUAAACAAGAAUUUUAAAAAGAGUACUGGAUACCAGAAGCCAUUGCCAGAAUGAUCCGCAGCUAGGAACAGGAUGUGACAGACAGCGAACUUACAAGGAUGAGGUGAUUCGCGUACCAUUGCAGGGAGAGUGACAGAGGAGGAUUAUUAUUAUACGGAGGGGAAGAUAAAAAACUCAGUAUAAGACAGAUUGACUUUGAGAAAGUAAGAGGACAUCCAUUAUAGACAAAAAAGAGAGGCAACUGGGGACUCUUUGUAGGACAGCAAGCGAGAGAUCAGGGGAGAAGAGGAAUAUCAUUGGCAUACAGGUAGUAGUAAAAUCCAAAAACAUUUGUUUGUUUGCCAGUAUAAAGAGAAAAAAAGAAGGGAACUGAGGACAGGAUGACAAAAGGAGGUGCUACCAGAAAAGAAGAGACAUUAAAGGAUCACUGGGAGAGAGAGGACAAGAACCAGGAAAACACAGAGUCACGAAGGGUAAUGGCAGGAUGAGUUUGGAGAAGUAGAGUCAAAGUCAGUAGAGAGAGCAGAGAUUCUAUGGAGUAAUGGCCUCUAUAUUUAGCCUUGAUCAUAAAUAUGCUUUAACGCAUAUUCUGGAUGCUUGAAUGUGAGUACAAUUCUUUUCUAACCUUGGAGGAUGGUGUCUAUGUUUUAAAUUUGCUAUCUGCUCUGAUGUCAAUUCAAUGUUGACUUCUAUGUUCGUUUUCUAAUUUUUAUUAUUAUUUCCCCUCUUAAUCUAAUCAGGCCUAUAAGGGCUGGUGCAAGGAUUUUUGUCUACACAGGCGAAAGGUGAUUUUUGCCGUCACCAAAAUUAAUCUAUACCUGUGUGUCUAUUAACCCUCUUUUUGCCCAUCUUACCUUAUCUAUAUAUAUAUAUAUAUAUAUAUAUAUAUAUAUAUAUAUAUAUAUAUAUAUAUACAUACAUACAUAUACAAACACACUGGGCCAUAGACAAACACACACACAAUGGAUCUUACACACACACACAUUUACAAACUGACAUACACAAACACUGACACCUUUAGUCCAAUGUACUAUUUGCUCAUAAACCUAUUGUUCCUUUCAAAAUUUGUAUGUCACGAAUUCAUCCGCUUAUAAAAAUGUGAUUAAUGGAAUUUACUGUACAGACAGGAAAAGUUGUGCCUAACAACAUUACUGUCCUGACAGGAAAAGUUGUGAUGAGCAACAAUCAAAUCCACAGCAGGGUUUGUGCUGAGCAACAAUUAUGCAAAUGGGAACCUGGUAACUGCCUUUGGCCACGGCUAUUCCUGACUGUUCCUUGGUACGUUAGUCCGCCCAUUCUAAGGUCCGGUAUACGUUACCUAUCAGUCCUCUGUGUUACACAAUUCUAUGUACUGGAUCAUACUGUAAUCCUGACAUUCUCAUAGUUUGUCUCAUUUAUUGUUAUUGUCCUAUUAAUAUUAUUGUAAAGCACUGCAUAGUCUGUUGGUGCUAUAUAAAUAAAAAUAUACCACUACUACUACUAUUACUGCUACUACUACUACUACUAAUAAUAAUCUACAUAACUGGGCUAAUAUGGCAAAGUGUUCUUCUCUGACACAUGAUUAUGUUUUUACAACCCACUGUCAACCACUAGGGGUCAGAAGAGCUGCAUUUCUGACAACCCAUUAAUUUAAGAAAAAAGAGGAAUCACAGUCGGCACUUUUCUUUUUUUUUAUUAUUAAUAAUUUUUCGUUAUUGUUUUCUUUUCCACUCAUUCAGGAAUUGAUUAUAAAACAGAAUGUUUAUAACUACAUUAACAAAUGAUGACCUGUUUCACACUCAUCAAUAUUCCAUAUUAACCUUCAUAAGAGGAAUAAUAAUAACAUACAUAUAAAUACAAUAUACAUUUUUCACAAGAUCCUGUACAAAACAUAGGACUUUACAUUUAAGACAAAAUCAAUCUGUUGUCGAGGAGGAGCAUCCCGGGGAGUUGUAAUUUCAACCAGUAUAAUGUUCAACGCUCAGGGUUGAUUAGUGUUAUCUAUAUCUAAUUUAUUUGCCCAUUCUUCCCAUAUUUUAGUUGUUUUGAAUCUAUAUCCUAUGGUUUUGCUGAUAUUCUUUUCAAUUUUAAUUUGAUAUAUUAACUGUUUAUAUAUAUUCAACCAAAGUGGAGCUUGGGGAUUUUUCCAACUAAGCGCAAUUGCAAUCUUUAUGGCCAAAAAAACAUUGUAUAAUGAAAAAACAUAACUUGUGUUUUUUAGAUUUUGGCCAAUUCAGGUGCAAAAGAGCUAUUUCUGGAGUAAAAUUAAAAUCUAAAUUAGUAUGGGUUUUUAUAACAAGAAAUAUAUUUUUCGUAUGUAACAUAUCGGUGGGUGUUCAGGAUACAUUUUUUUAAAUCUUGUCAGUACUAUGUAAUACUUUGAAUUGAUUUUCUGCCAAAUUUAUACAGUGCAUUACUUUUUUAACCUUUACCCAUACAUCACACCAUUCUUUCAUAUUUAUAGUAUAAAUCAGGUCACUUUGCCAAAUUUGGAAAACUGUGAAUGUUUGUAAUUUUCCCAUCGUAUUCAACAGACAAAACUAUUAGAUAAAACUUUUAGACAAAACUUUGGAUGUUAAAUCAUAAUUUAGAAUAUUGAAAAGUUUGUCUGUUAUAUCUGAUUUAUCUCUCAUUAAAUUGGCCAUUAUAUAAUUCUUUAAUCUUUGAUAAUUAAACAUUUCUGAUACUGGGAGUUGGUAUUCGUGAACAAUCUAUGGGAAGGAUUUAAAUUUUCCUGCUGUUAGAAUGUGCUCUAUUUUUAAGAUGCCCCUCUGUCUCCACUUCCUAAAAUCCAAGUCCAUGAUAUAUUGUUCCAAAGAACCUAGAUAAAUAUGUUCAGGAAUCUGGUUUAAUAUCCCACAUUUAUUUUUUAAUCUAAUCCAGAAACCCAUAAAAUGAUCCAAAGCAGUGCUAGAGUUUCUGGCCAUUCUCAUCUUAUUUGAGUACUUUGCUUGCCAUAGCAGAGAGCUCAGAUAAUUUAGAUGACAAGAUUCGGUCUCUAUUUGAUUCCAUGCUUCUUCUUCUUGUUUUCUUAAUUGAGCAUUAUAUAUAUGGUAUAUCAUCCUAGCCGAGAAAUAAUUUUUAACUAAAGGGAAUUCAACUCCCCCAUUUAACAUACUUUGCGCUAAAUAUUUUGAUUAAGUCUUGUUUUUUCCCCCCUGCCAGAUGAAGCUUGUAAUACUCUUCUGGAUUGGAGCCACCAAUCUGAAAAAUUUAGAGGAAUCAUCCUAAACAUAUAUUGCCAUUUGUGGAGAAUAUAUGAAUUAAUUAUAUUAAUUAAUACCUUUUUUCAUCCAAGUAAAAUUAUAUUUAGAUCUAAUAUAUUGUUGUAAACUGUUAUCUAAAUUAAGAUCCAUUAUUGUUGAUUUCUCAAUGUUAAUUUUGUAAUUUGCUACUUGUUGAUAUUCUUCUAUCUCCUUCAUAAGAUUUUCUAAUGACCUAUUCGGCUCUGAAAUUGUAUUCAGUAAGUCAUCAUACAUAUUCAUUUUUUAUUCCCUUUCUUUACAUCUAUAUCCCCUGAUGUUCUUAUUAUAUCUUAUGAUGUUAGAAAAGGACUCAAUAGAGAUGAUGUAGAGGAGUGGAGACAGGGGGCAUCCCUGCCUAAUACCAUUACUAAGCGAAAACCAAUUUGAACAUACAUUUGAUCCCACUACUCUUGCUGAAGGUGUUGUGUAUAAAGCCAUGAUGGCCCGAUGUAUCCAUUCCAAUCUUGAAUCACAAAUUGUUGUAAUGAUUGACUCAACCACUAGAGGUCAGAAUAGCUGCAUUUCUGACAGCCCAUUCAUUUAAGAAAAAAGAGGAAGCACCGUCAACACAUUUCAAUUGCAUCUUACAUUACCUCCAGCAAUGCACCAAAAUGCAAAAUUCACAACACAAACUUACUUGAUGAAUGAUAUUGUGCAAAAUAGACAAACAAAUCUUCUCUUCUCCAAGGAAAGAAAUCUCUCCCAUGUCGCUUAAAUCAUAAUUUGUGAGGAUUAAAGUCAUGUUUUUGGGGGUUUUUUGUUUUGCCUCUAACAGAUUUUUUUUUAAAAUAACUUCAAAUCUCUUGCUGCAGGUUUCACUGAGUUUCCCAGACCCCUAAAGCACUUUAGCUUGCUGAAAAGUUUUCUGUGUGAUGUAUGUGUACUCUUGCUGGUCCUGUUACUUCCUGGUUUGGUUAGCUCAGUGGAGCUAAACACAUGAGGCUCAAUUGAGGCAGCAAUUUCUCAGAGCACCUGCCUUUUCAUUGAGCUGCAUUGGGAAGUCUGUAAUUAAACAGCCACAGAAAGUCUGGGGGGAGUUAGUAGGAGAGGGCUUGUGAAGGCUACAGACAAAAGAUCUGCAGGUUUUGAAAGCUGCUUUUAGAGUAACCCCAAAUGAAAAAAAUACAUAAACAAUUGUUAUUUAUUUUGUAUUUAGCACUGGAAUGUCCCUUUCAGUUCAUUUUUUUUUUUUUUUUUUUUACUGAUUUAGUCUAGCCCAGAUAUAUAGAUGGACUUAUAUAGCUUACUGCUAUAUUAAAUAAAGUGUAGGACUUAAUCAGUUAAAAUUAUCUCUCUUGAUGCAAAGUUGUUUUUUUAAGAAAUCCAAAUUAUUGUAAACAUGGCAUACGGAUAAAAGAGACAUUUUAUACAUAGAGAUACUUAAAAUUAAAUAGUCCAGUUAUAGAUUAUUUUGUCCCAUUUAGCUUCCACAGAAAUUUAGGGAGGUUAUAAAGUGAAAUGGUCCACUUCAAGGUUCAAGGUAUUCUGCAUCCAGAGAGCACUGCUGUAACACAUGGUUAUUUUAGAUACUGUAUCUUACUUACCAGCCAGAAGAAGUCUAGACAUUCUCCUCUGACCUUUCAUUAAUAACGAAUUUUUAUGCCACUGAACUACAGCCCACUGUAUAUUAAAGAAACAUGCAAACGUUAUAAAUACAUAUGCAUUCAGGGAAUGAGGGCUGAGAGCAGGGCCGGCGCUUCCUAUAAUGCGAACUAGGCAGCCGCCUAGGGCGCCAUAUAGGAGGGGGCGCCCUGCGCCCCCAUCGCCGGCACUUUAAAUUCUGCAGCCGCUCAGACGGCUGCCGCACUGCCUCACCUCCCCGGCACUGUAGCGUGGUGGAGCUCCUUUCCAGUCCGCGACCCGGACGGACUGACAGGAAGUGCACACUGAGAAAACUAUAGGGGAGGGGGUGGAGAGAAGAGUAUAGGGGAGGGGGGAGAGAAGAUUAUAGGGGAGGGGGAGGAGAAGAGUAUAGGAGGGGGAGAAGAGUAUAGGGAGGGGGGUGGAGAAGAGUAUAGGGGGAGAGAAGAGUAUAGGGGUGGGGGGGAGAAGAUUAUAGGGAAGGGGUGGAGAGAAGAUUAUAGGAGGAGGGGGGAGAGAAGAUUAUAGGGAGGGGGGAGAAGAGUAUAGGGGAGGGGGGGGAGAAGAAGAGUAUAGGGGAGAGAGAGAGAAGAUUAUAGGGGGAGAAGAUUAUAGGGGAGGGGGGAGAAGAUUAUAGGGGGGGAGAAGAUUACAGGGAGGGAGGGGGAGUGGAGAAGGUUACAGGGAGGGGGAGAAGAAGAGAAGAUUACAGGGGAGAAGAAGAGGAGAACACGGGGAGGGGGGAAUAAGAGGAGAACACGGGGGGUGGGAGAUGAGAACGUAGGGGAGGGAGAGACCACUAAAGGAGGGAGGGGGCGGUGGAGAGACCACUAGGGGAGGGGUGUGAGGAGAGACCGCUAAGGGAGGGGGGUGGAGGAUAGACCACUAGGGGAGGGUGGGGGGAGAGGAGAGACCACUAAUGGAAAGUCGGGGAGAAAAGCAGACCACUAAGGGAGGUGGGGGGGAAAGGAGAGACCACUAAGGGGCAGGGGAGAACUCUAAGGAAUGGAAGGGAGAGCUCUAUAGGACAGGGGGCAGGACGGGGAGCUCUUUCACACCACGCGCACACACACACAAUGCAUCCCUAUACACACAGAAACACAACAUGCUUCCCUUACACACAGAGAAACACACAAUGCAACCCUUACACAUAAAGACAAUGCAUCCUUUGCACAUAUACACAGAAACACACAAUGCAUCCCUUACACACACAUGCAAACACACACUGCUUCUCUUACACACACACAGAAACACAAUGCAUUUCUUACACACACUCAACGCACCCCUUACAGACACACACACUGCAUCCCUUACAUACACAGAAACACACUUUGCAUCCCUUAUGCAUACAAACACAGAUUCACACAAUGCAUCCCUUACACACAACAAGAAACACACAAUACAUCCCUUAUACACAAACACUCACUGCUUUCUAUCCCUUACACAAAAACACACUGCUUCCACUACACACAAACACACUGCAUCACCUACACAAACUGGUAUCCCUAUACACUACAUUCCAUAAGCACACACAUUAGAUCCUCUACAGUAACACAUAACACAUCCCCUACACACUCUACUCCCUGUGAGCGAACUCAUGGGUGGAACAUGUAGGUGGACUUAUGGGUGGGCUUUAUGGGCAUACUCACCGUCGGGCCCUGGGGCCCAGACCUUGAGCUAUGUAAGAGGCCCCAAAAAAUGGAGCUGCUUCCUGUGCUCCCAGAACAUUGAAUUUUGUGACCACAGUUACAAACAGCCUCCAGAGAUCCUGUUCUACACCAGACCAGUGGAGCCAGACUGCAGCCAGAGCCCAUCACCAUCCUCAUCUGAUUGUAAGUAGGCAAUCUAGUAUAUUAUUAGUGACACUAAUCUCUAAUUUACCUCACAUUAAAUGGACACUAUAGUCCCCAGAACCACUGCAGCUUAAUAAAGUUGUUCUGGUGUCUAUAGUUUGUCCCUGCAGGCUUUUUUAAUGUAAACACACACUGUGUGCAGCACUGGCACUAGUUCAUAUGGCAGAUCAUAUGGGUGGGGCAUUGCGAUGUCCUUAAAGGGACACCGUAGGCACUGUAUCUGCUUCAUCUCAUUAAACUGGUUAUAGUGUCUGGAGUCUUCUGGUCCCAUCUUUUCUAUCAGCAUUAAACAGUUUUUAAAAUGUUAAUGUUUUAAUGCUAAACAAGAGUCCCCGGCAAUCCAUCCCCUCUGUGCUGCUUUGGCUAAUAAGGAACUAUUAGCCUGAGCAGCAAUGGGCAGCUGUGAUUGGCUGAGAGUAUCAGCUGACUGCUUUUAGCCUGUCAGAGUUCCAACUGACGGUAUGAGUGGGUAUGACAACAAGGAGGUGUGUAAUCUCUGCCUUAGCUACACAUACUGAAGGGGCCGGACUGUGGGUGGCCAGGGACUCUUAUUUUGUGGCCUACUGCACGAACAUGGUGCAACACAGAAUGGAGGGACAGUGCCAGGGUACUCCAGGCACUAUAACCAAUUCAAAGAGAUGAAAUGCUUAUAGUGACUACAGUGUCCCUUUAAGGGAUUAAAGAGAAAGUGACACCAGAUUUUCAAAAGUAUUUUGUUUGGUAAGCCAUUAAGAAAUUGUUUCUAUCUUCCCGUGGUUAGACUGUGGUUUGUCUUUCAAAGUUGUUGGUUUUUUAAACCACAGGUUUCUCUUGCAUAUCUCUAAAAACGUUAUUUCAUAAAGAGUUAUUUUAUGAGAUUUGUACCAGAUGUAUCAGUGUAAAUCAGGUCUGUAAAAUGAAACUAUUGAACAAGUGAAAAAAAACAAAAAAACAUAAAAUAUUGUCUCCAUGUUAUUUGUUUCAAUAAUCUUAACAAUUGCUUAGUGUUGGUAUUUGUACAUUGUACAAAACACCUCCAAAAUCACACAAAUAAUACAAUCAUAAACCCAAAUGUGAAGUGAAGCACUAUUACCUAUGUGUCAUAUGUGAAAAAUUCCAAAAUUUGCAUAACGUAACUCCAAUGACUUCUAUCAAUUUUUUUGUCUUGAUAGCAAAAUAAAAGUAACUUCAUAGUAUAACCUCUUUUGCAAAAAUUGCAACCUCACAUUGGAUAGUGCUAAUAAAUUAGCUAAAACUUGAAAACUUUUAGGCAGCACUCCCCUCAUAGAGAUACAUGACAUACAGAUACAGGUAUAUCUUCUUCACCACCAGCUCUAAGAAAAACAUGGAGAAAAUUGAUAUUGGAUAAAACUGUACGACAGUACUAUGUUAUAUAUAAAAGACGUGCACUCACAUGAAUAGAGACACUUAGUUUUGCUGCUUUUUCUGUAUCUAACCCAUACCAUCUAGUUGCCUAAUCCGGAAUCAUGCAAUUCAAUCAAAGCAAAGAGAACUCUGUGGUAAAAAAAAACUUUCUGUUCCUCAAAAUAUUAAAACAUCCAAAAACUCAUUUUACAGAUAUCUGGCUACUGAAGUAAAGAAGCCAGAUAUUGGUGAAACUUGUUUUUGGCUAUGUUACAUGCUGGCUGAUGUGAAUUAUGUGCAUAACUGGCAUCUAACACCAGCACGCACAACAAUCUGGUGCCAAACAACCAAUGGCAGCACAGCCUUAGCCUCCCCUUUGUCCAUCCUCCCUGCACACCCCGGAAGGGAGGAGCAACAUUAGACAAGGAGGAUCGGGCUGAAGGCCUUAGUGAUGGAACACAGGUGAGUUUUAGCAUUUUUUUUUUUAAACUUGGGGAGGUGGACUACCUCAGGGUUUCUCUAACUAAAAUCACUGUUUCAUAAAGACUUGUUUUUGAUUGGAGUAACCCUUUAAUGCAUGUAAGACAGUAAGGGAUCGGAAUACAUAAACAGGGUUAUUCAAAAACUGAAUCAUGCCAAAAUAGCAAAUUUAUUAAAAUGUAUUAAAACUGUUUUUAGUUUGACUAUCUUAGCUUUAAGUUAGAAAUUCACUUAAAUACCACACAUCACACUGUCUACUGUCAUAGCCUAUGUUAUUAGUAUGAAAAAAGACAGUAACAUAUUAUAGCCUUCAAUAUACUUGUUGAAUUAUUUUUAUCAUUGUUUCAUAGGAAUUAUACACAGUCAUAUCCCACAACUUGAGAUUGAGGACAAAAUAAAAUAAGUAGGCCCCCAGAACCCCUAAGAACCAGUUUUGAGUUGACAGCUCUUGGUUUCUUUUCACUUACGCAGUUAGAAGUGGCUAUUAAUUUCCUAUUACCCCAUAUGCAAGAGGUUAGGGUUAAUCAUUAAGAGAGGGAGUAGGCCAAUGUCCACCUAACCUGAUGGUUUGGAAUGGGUUCUUAAAACCCCAGGACAAGACAAAAGAUAACAUUUUCAAAAUGUUAUAGGACCAGAGGUUACCCAGCACUUGUAGAUUUCAUAUACAUUUUCAGAUACAUGCCAUUUUUUUUAAUCUUGAUUAUAUCCUGUGUAGUAGAAAAGAGAGGCAAUCAUUCAUAAUUCAUAAAUUUUAUUUUCUUUUUAAAUAGGAAAUUGCAAAUACCCUCCAG
RNAcentral lists this long non-coding RNA (28667 nucleotides) under Pelobates cultripes (western spadefoot toad). Lineage: Eukaryota; Metazoa; Chordata; Amphibia; Anura; Pelobatidae. The record is from RNAcentral.